CGGACGGGUGAGUAAUGCUUGGGAAUCUGGCUUAUGGAGGGGGAUAACGACGGGAAACUGUCGCUAAUACCGCGUAGAAUCGAGAGAUGAAAGUGCGGGGCCGCAAGGCCGCAUGCCAUAGGAUGAGCCCAAGUGGGAUUAGGUAGUUGGUGGGGUAAAGGCCUACCAAGCCGACGAUCUCUAGCUGGUCUGAGAGGAUGACCAGCCACACCGGGACUGAGACACGGCCCGG
Molecule: ribosomal RNA, 232 nt
Filed under: uncultured bacterium
Lineage: Bacteria
Description: partial 16S ribosomal RNA
Rfam family: Bacterial small subunit ribosomal RNA
Source: RNAcentral